GACGAACGCUGGCGGUGUGCUUAACACAUGCAGGUGGUGCGACGAACCAGAGCUUGCUCUGGGGCAAAGCCGCGAACGGGUGAGUAACACGUGGGUAAUCUACCCCGAUGACCGGGACAACCCGAGGAAACUCGGGCUAAUACCGGAUGUGGUGCGGAGACAUAAGUCUCUUCACUAAAGGUAGCUUCGGCUUCCGCAUUGGGAGGGGCCCGCGGCCCAUUAGCUUGUUGGUGGGGUCAAGGCCUACCAAGGCAACGAUGGGUAGCUGGUCUGAGAGGACGAUCAGCCACACUGGGACUGAGACACGGCCCAGACUCCUACGGGAGGCAGCAGUGGGGAAUCUUGCGCAAUGCGCGAAAGCGUGACGCAGCAACACCGCGUGAGGGAAGAAGGCCUUAGGGUUGUAAACCUCUUUCAGAUGGGACGAAGGUGCUCCGGUGAAUAGCCGAGAGGAUUGACGGUACCGUCAGAAGAAGCUCCGGCUAACUACGUG
This 493-nucleotide ribosomal RNA is filed under the name uncultured bacterium. RNAcentral describes it as "partial 16S ribosomal RNA". It matches the Rfam family "Bacterial small subunit ribosomal RNA", at positions 28 to 507 of the family's 1533-position model. The record is from RNAcentral.